RNAcentral lists this ribosomal RNA (507 nucleotides) under uncultured Acaulospora. RNAcentral describes it as "SSU rRNA". It matches the Rfam family "Eukaryotic small subunit ribosomal RNA", at positions 569 to 1078 of the family's 1831-position model. Lineage: Eukaryota; Fungi; Glomeromycota; Glomeromycetes; Diversisporales; Acaulosporaceae. The record is from RNAcentral.
AGCAGCCGCGGUAAUUCCAGCUCCAAUAGCGUAUAUUAAAGUUGUUGCAGUUAAAAAGCUCGUAGUUGAAUUUCGGAAUUUGUCGGUUGGUCGGGCUUCACUGUCCGCACUGGCCUGAUGAAUUCCUACCUUCUGAAUAACCAGCAUGCUAUUAAUUUAGUGCGUUGGGGAAGCAGAGCUAUUACCUUGAAAAAAUUAGAGUGCUUAAAGCAGGCUCACGCUUGAAUAGAUUAGCAUGGAAUAAUAAAAUAGGACGGCUUGGUUCUAUUUUGUUGGUUUCUAGGAUCACCGUAAUGAUUAAUAGGGAUAGUUGGGGGCAUUAGUAUUCAAUUGUCAGAGGUGAAAUUCUUGGAUUUAUUGAAGACUAACUUCUGCGAAAGCAUUUGCCAAGGAUGUUUUCAUUAAUCAAGAACGAAAGUUAAGGGAUCGAAGACGAUCAGAUACCGUCGUAGUCUUAACCAUAAACUAUGCCGACUAGGGAUCGGACGAUGUUAAUUUAAUGACUCG